CAAGAGACUGUUGUUGUCAUGGUUUGAGUUGUAAUCAAUAUCUAGAGUCUGACCACUGAGCAACAAGAUUUUACAUACUGAUACGUGAUGUAAUCUCUAGAAUAAUCCAGGAAGAUUUUAGCAUCCUUUCUACAUUCUUACCCCAGAAUGAAGACUACAGAAGCCCGUGAAGAACUUACAGCCUGCCUGACAUCAUCUUGCCUACAAACUGAGUUAUUGCUUUGUCCUAAAAAUUAGUUGGUUUUUUUCCCUAUGAGGCUUUUCAGAAAUUUACAGGAUGCCCAUACUUUAAAUGUGUAC
RNAcentral lists this long non-coding RNA (300 nucleotides) under Bos taurus (domestic cattle). Its description in RNAcentral is "long non-coding RNA NONBTAT025944". Lineage: Eukaryota; Metazoa; Chordata; Mammalia; Artiodactyla; Bovidae. The record is from RNAcentral.